This is a long non-coding RNA of Panicum virgatum (switchgrass), 2554 nucleotides long. RefSeq lists it as uncharacterized. The record is from RefSeq and is a predicted model, not a curated record. The transcript has 6 exons. NCBI's taxonomy places the organism in Eukaryota, Viridiplantae, Streptophyta, Magnoliopsida, Poales, Poaceae.
UCUCACCACCGCGCACCCUUACCCGCCCGCAUACCCACAUCGCUAAUUGCGCCGCCUCCCACCGCUAAUCGCGCGGCCUUCCCUCGCGACGCCGCCUCCCACCGCUAUCCGCGCGGCCGCCCUCGCGGCCUUCCCUCACCUCGCCGCCUCUCCUCGCCCUCCCCAUCUCCCGCGACCUCCCUCCCCAUUCGCUCGAUCCUCCACAAGAAGCUGCAUGGAGGCGGGAGGCGAGCCAUGGCGAGGAGGGGAGACACGGUCUCCGUCUCGCUCGGCGACCUCGCCGCGCGGACGCCCUCCACGCCGCCGCCGCCCACGAAGCCCGCUCGUCGACUCGUCGGCACCUUCCUCUGCGGCCGGGGCGCCCCUCCUCUCGGGUCUUUCUCCACCUCCGUUUUGGGUCGCCGAAGGCUGCCAGGGUCCGGAUCCGCCCUCUCCCUCGCUGGAUCUACGCAUCCCUUGGCCGGAUCUACCUCGAUGCAAGGUUCCUCCGUCUGGGCGACAUGGAGCCGCUCUAUCCUUUCCAGCGGCGCUGGCGCGGCCUCCUGUAUCGGCGCUCGCUCGCGAGGAGGUGCUGGCCGGCCGCGCGGCAGACCGGCGUUACCUCUAUGCCGCGCUCGCACGCGCGGAGGCGCUGGCCGGCCGGCCGUGACCCCGGUGCCCGGAGCCUGCCCGGGGACGCCUCUCUGCCAACCUCCUUUAUCAGGAGGAAGGAGGAGAAUGGUGCUUCUCAGGAAGGCGAUUACUUCAAAAUCGACGUGCGCACAUUAGCACCGUUCACAUAUCACAACUAAAGCUUUGAAGGUCAAAUAACUGUUUCAGUUAGCCAUCUCUGAAGAUAAGGCCUGUUAAUAAAAUAGUCAUGGCAGAUUUCAAGAUUGGUAGCCUGGAUGGCCAGCCACCAAGGACCAGAAAUGUGCCCAUUUAUUAUCGUUUGUUCUUUUGAGUUUCCUUUUUGAAUAUAUAAUUUAGCAUUUGAUAUGUUCCAGUAAUCGGUUGAGUUUUUUGUUUCAGUUCUCGGAAAGUGGAUGCCAGUUGUUUCAAUAUGCUUAUCAUGGUGUUCUCAAAAAAAAAAAAUGCUUAUCAUGGUUACGUGAUUGAUCCAGUAGCAUCUUGAGGGUGUUACUGAUAGAGUGAUCUGAAGCUACUAUGAAAAAGCUUGAACAAACACUCUUGCCUGGGAAAUCCAAAAUGUUAUAACCGAAUCUUGCCAAGUGAUCUAUUAAAGCUAAUCUAUUAAGCGAGGAAAUCACAAUCUUGGAACCUUGACAGAUAAGAGUUGGACCCUGCUUCGGGGAGAUCUGUUGAGAAUGGAGGAGGAUCUCCAAGAGUGGUUGGAGACUACAUGCUCCAGGUGAAGUAAAUUUGAUGCCUUCCUAAUUUCAUGGGUUUCAUAUAUUGAGUACUGUGAAGCUUGGGUUUUCCAUGUAUGAUUUGUUUUUGGAAGAAAGACUGGAAUGCUUCAUAGUUCUGAAGCAUGACGUCGUAGCUGAGCAGGUCAAGGCCCUGGAAAGGUUCAGGACAUUGCAUCUCACUAUGGUACUAUAAGCCUGCAAAUGAUUAAUUUCGAGGAUCACAUGUAUUUAGUUCAGUAUCUCUUUUGAGUCCUCUAAUUAAUUCAUCUAUCGCAAAUAGUCAUUCAUCUAAUUGUAUGAAGGUUUUUUUGUGAGGUGUGAAGCUCCUGCUGGUUAGAUUUAUACACAUGAUAUUUGUUUGGUAAAGUGGUACUGUCUUCAGGAAACAACUGAACGGUUUGCAUACUAUGCCAUGGGCAGAAUGUCACAUGUUGUGUCGGCGAGUGUACUUUGACCACUAAACUCCAGUGUCCAAUUCCUUUCACUUGUUUCCUUAUAACUGGAAACUUUGACUAAUCGAUGAUAUGAUCCAUUUAGUCCCCCACCUAUGAUUUUCUAUGACAAAAGGAAGGAACAAUAUGAAGUUCUUUAUCUGAAAGAUUCUCAUUUUGAUGUUUUGCAAAUCAUCUAUGGAAAAAAAAGCAAUGCAAAAAUGCUAAUUUCUCUACUUAUCAUGGUUUAAUCUGUGUGCAAUUUAUUGGUUCCAUGUUGAAAUGGAAAUAUGCUUGUAUAAGAAAUUUGCACUGAAUGUAACUUAUUCAUAUUAUACUGUGAAGCACUGGAGCUUUUGAUAUAAUAAGAAAUAAGCUAGAAAGGACUAGGGGAGAGCAGGACAUUGGCACAACAACAGAGCUCAAGAUGUCGUCAACUUAUUCUGUUCUACCAUGGUCUCCACUGGCCUUGGAAAGUAGAGGACCAUUGAUGAUGGCAGUACUGAUGGCUGGCAAUAGAUAGUUUCAGUCAAGUUCUUUUUUUGGAGUAAAAAAAUUGUAGUUAACUGUUCUUUUUCAUGCCAUGGUGAUGAGAGAUUGUAGUUCCUGCCCUGUCAGAUGAUUUCAGUGAGUAAAUUAGGUCUUCUUACUGGUUCUGAGAAAACACGCUCGUGUUCUGUUGCGCUUCAGAGAUUGUUUUGGCAUCGCAAAAACGUGCCGGUGCAUAUACUAUCUUGUUCUGCUCAUUUAGCUAUAUGCUUGGCAUGCUUA